AACGCACAUUGCGCCCUUUGGUAUUCCGAAGGGCAUGCCUGUUCGAGCGUCAUUAUCACCCCUCAAGCCCCGUGCUUGGUGUUGGACGGCCGGUUGAGCGAUCGACCCCUCCUAAAGACAAUGACGGCGGCCUGUGGUUCCCCCGGUACACUGAGCUUUCUGAGCACGUAUCGGACGAGGGCACCCGGGACCCGGUCCUCUCUCCUCACGGAGAAACUUUCUAUGGUUGACCUCGGAUCAGGUAGGAAUACGCGCUGAACUUAA
Molecule: unclassified non-coding RNA, 264 nt
Filed under: uncultured fungus
Lineage: Eukaryota; Fungi
Description: partial contains 5.8S ribosomal RNA, internal transcribed spacer 2, and large subunit ribosomal RNA
Rfam family: 5.8S ribosomal RNA (bases 1-52)
Source: RNAcentral